This 88-nucleotide transfer RNA is filed under the name Planctomycetota bacterium. RNAcentral's name for it is "Planctomycetes bacterium (activated sludge metagenome) tRNA-Ser". It matches the Rfam family "tRNA". From Rfam's summary of the family: Transfer RNA (tRNA) molecules are approximately 80 nucleotides in length. Lineage: Bacteria; Pseudomonadati; Planctomycetota. The record is from RNAcentral.
GGAGGGGUGGCAGAGCGGCUUAUUGCACCGGUUUUGAAAACCGGCGUGGGGAAACUCACCGGGGGUUCAAAUCCCUCCCCCUCCGCCA